UGAAUACAUCUAAAUCUCUGUAUAUGAAUUGAUUGACAAUCAUGUAUUAUACAGUGGUAAUUUAAUCGAUUAGAGGCCCAGACUCAACACGCAUCAGAUUGAAUAUAUCAGUAACUUAGUGCCUCCCACGGAAACAGCUAGGUAGCUUGGCCCCAUAUGUGUGUGUAUAUACAAUUUUCAUCUCACCUAUGAGAUACACGAUGGUUGAAGGUAAAAAGGGGAUGUAGGAAGGCAGUGGUUGGAAAAAAUGUUGGGUUGUUCCAACAUUGUUUGUGUAUAUGAAUUGGAGUUGAAGAAGGGGGCAGGGGAGGUCGAAUUGGAUGUCUGGUGGUUGUAGCCGUGGCUGGUGGUCGUGGCCGUGAUUAGACGAGAGGGAAGAAAGAGAGGUUUCGUGAGGCUGACUAAUGAAGUAGGGACAUGGUCGGAGUGUCUGGCAGCGGCAUAGUGACAUGAUCGGAGCAUGUGACAGCGGCCCAACAUGAUUGAACGGAAAAAAAAGAAAAGGAAGGAGGGUGUGGAGAGGAAUAGACCAAAAUACCCUUUGAUUUUAUGUUUUUUUAAUGAAGUUAACGGCUGACAUUAACGUUUCUAAGGGCAGCCAAUAAAUUAAAAAGCGGAG
Molecule: long non-coding RNA, 619 nt
Filed under: Daucus carota (carrot)
Lineage: Eukaryota; Viridiplantae; Streptophyta; Magnoliopsida; Apiales; Apiaceae
Description: long non-coding RNA (DCAR_LNC005264)
Source: RNAcentral